Molecule: RNA transcript, 7166 nt
Organism: Homalodisca vitripennis (glassy-winged sharpshooter)
Lineage: Eukaryota; Metazoa; Arthropoda; Insecta; Hemiptera; Cicadellidae
Exons: 9
Source: RefSeq, a predicted model, not a curated record
UCUCUAGUCUCGCCUAAAUUAAUCUUGAGUAAAUUUUGUAACUUUGCGAUGUGAUUUAAGUGUUUACUUUUUUGUCCUUUCUACUAAUGUUUAAUGUCUAAGGUUCUGAGUGAAUCAGGUCAACUGUUUUAGUGUAAUUUUCAUUGUUAAUACAGAGAGCAGUAAUAAUUUUAAAUUUUGAAAAGUUAAUUAAUGGUAGUAUUGACGAUUUGUAGUGUGUCGUUUAAAAUUUGUGUUCUCAAAACCUACAUUUUAUUGUAGCCAACUUCAGUGCUAUAUAGUAAUAAUGGACAUUGAAGAAGGCGAAAUACAUUCUGAUGAAUCCAACUGUUCUAACAGAUUCAGUAGACGUGGUAGAAGAAACUUUUCUGAGGAAAGAACUUCGUCAAGGAUAACACCACUAAAAAGUUAUGAGCAGUCAACAAAACACUUAAAGAAGACAGGAAAAAUAUCUCAUUUUUCUGAACGUUCGAGUAAAAGAAGUAAUUAUGACUAUGUGCACGAUUCUACAAAAAGGAAGAAACAUAAGCGUAAAUCAAAAAGUGAGCGUAUGAAGGGUGUAUUUGACCAUAGAAGCAAAAUUAUUACAAAGGACAUACUGUUCAGUCAGCAAAAUACAAAUACUUUGUUAGAGAAAGUAGUUUCUAAAUCUGGACUAAGUUCUGUACCAUCAGCAACUGCUACUCAACCCUUUCAAUAUUCACUAAUGAACAAGCUUAUCACAGCUGGGUUGGCUAAAACACAAUUACCUGUUCUAGAUAGUCAGGUACGGAAACCAUCAAACAAUCUUGUUCCAAAAGUAGAAGAAACAAAAGAAGAUGAUGAUAGUGAAAUUGAAGUGAUUACCCCACCAAAGAAAGUACCACCUGUUGUAACUUUGGAUUCUGAUGGAGAAGAACUUGAGGUGAUUGUACAAGGGAGUGUUCAUGAAAGUUCAGUAGAAAUAGUUAAUCUGACUGGAUCUAUUGAAAAUUUACAUGGAGAGACUCAGAAGUCAGAAAAUGAAGAAUCAAUUAGUUUACCUUCAUGUAACAAAGGUUAUUCCAGUGAUAAUGUUUCUGUCAAAUGUUUAGAUUCAGAUGAAGUUCCAUAUACACCUUCAAGCCCUUCUUCUUGUAAUAGUCUUAUAGAAAACGAAAUACGAAAUCCUGAAUUAUCGUCUGUAGAAUCAUGUCACUCUCUCGAAGUUGAAGGCAACUGCUCUAGCAACUCUCAUACAAGUCAAGAAGUGACUUCAGCAAGAUGUGACCAAUACAUUUCACCACUAAAAAUACCAAAGUUAACGUUUGGUAACCAGAUCUCAGUAUAUUCUGAAACUUUUCUAAACAAUGAUACUGAAAAAGACAUCAGUACCACCUGUCAUUCUGAUAACAGUUCAAAUGAGAAACAAGUAGAGUCAUGUGUAGGUGUAACCCAAAAUCUAGAAAAAGAUCAUAGCUCUGGCAUGAAUGAUACUUCAGCAAAAGAAGACAUUCUUUCUGAACGUAACAAGUUGAACAUCUCAGAUUCUAAUAAUUUCAGGAAUAAUUCAAGCAGAAACAAUGAGGAGUGUAUAUUAAUUUCAGAUCAAAAUUUUAAUAUUAAAAGCUCAUCUUCAGAUACAAAUUUAAAAGAGAAUGACAUUUCUGAUACAAAUGUGGAAGUUAAUAGUCAAUCUUCUGUAGAUAAUGCAACAACCAACUUCCCUUUUAAUUGUUGUGAGAAGAAAACUUCUGAAAAUACCUCUGAUAUUUCAGAUGAAAGCACUAACCCUACAGAUAAUAACAUAGGAGAAACAUUAGAAAAGAAUCUAGACUUAACUAAUAAACAAGAAGCUUGUAGUUUUUUACCUGGUUAUGAUGAUAAGUGUCCUCUGAAUAUUGAUCAGAGUUUUAAGGAGACAUCCACAGUAAAGGAAAGAAAUGAAAAUUCGACAAAUGACGUAAAUGCUAUACAAAUCAAAGAAAAUCAUUUAGACCUUGAGUUGAGAACCUAUUCCUGUCCUGAGAGUGACAAAUUUGAAUUAGAACCAAAUACUUUGUGUGAUAAAAUCCUACAAAGUGACGACGAAGAAGAUAUUUCAAAGUUACGACUUAUUGCACUCUCUACUAAAGGAAAAACUAAUCAAAAUCUAAACACAAGUAAAGAAAAUAACAACUGUAAGGAAACUGUAUCCCAAUCAAACACUUCGGCUGAUGAUGAUGAUUAUGAAAAUGAAGAAGAAGAAGUAUUGCAACUCCGUGUUGCAGCACUAAAGUCAGCAGUCAUAAAGAAGCACGAGGAACGUAAAAAAAGAGGACUUAUUGUAAAAAAAAGGAAGCGGGGAAGUAGUGGUAAUGCAGAUGAUUUUGUUAUUCCAAGUUUAAGUGGCCACGAGGUUCUUCUGUCAGAAAACAGUGUGACUUCCAAGCAAAGUGAACUUGAAUGCCCUAGGUCACCAGAGACUGUUCAAGGUGAAGAGGACAUGGAAAUUGAUUCUGAUUCAAUUGGGGAUAUUAUAGAAAAUAAUAAUACCCAAAAGACACCUCAAAUGAUCAGUGAUUCUAAUACUUGCAAGCCUCCCUUAUCUAACUGUGAUACUAUAUCUGAUACGUUAUUUAAUACCUACAUGCCUCCUUCAAUUCCACUUAUACCUCCUCAACCGUUACCUCCAGGUGUGGAUAUGGACUAUUCAGUUAUAUGUCUUAAUGAAUCCCAGCCUCAAAACCUUUGUCACUCAACACAAUUUCCCCCUGUUUUACCUCCACCACCUCCACCCCCUUCUUUAGUAUUUCCUUCAUUACUUGCACCACCACCACCCCCACCUCCCCUUCCUCCACCACCUUCACCCCCUACCAUAUGCCUUGACACUCCUCUCUCACCGCAAUUGAACGGUUCAACACAGGAUCCACUACCCGUUAUUUAUACGAAUACCUUACAAUUACCUGUCACUCCUGAUCCCACUUAUCACAUUGAAAAUGUCUUAGCUGAAGUAGGCUAUUCAGAAGUUAUUGAAAGAAAUGAAAAAUCAAAUUGUGAUUUUCUGUUAUCAGAACAGCCCUUCCAAUCACAACAUAGUAAAUGUUCCAACAGUUCAGACAUAGAUGUUAACCAGUUAAGGCCAAAUUUGAAAACUAUUCCAGUUCUCAAGAAUCUCCCAAAGAAAGUUUUAACAAAAAAAAUACCUAAGAAAGUUAGAAAACGCGGUAAGAAAAGUAAAGUGUUAAAUAAACUAAAAACAUUUGAACCUGAACUGUUGUGUAUUACAAAUACUCCAGCAUCCUUUAAAAGUAAAAAUAAAAUGAAUUUUAAGUCACACAUACAGUGUAAUUUCACCACUACAGACUCUUCCAAAGAAGACACUAAGCUUUUAAUAAACCUUGAAGAAGAUAAUGCAAUCCCUUUGUGUACUAUUGACCCAUCCUUAGAAGAUAACAACAGAACAUGUACUCAAAAUCCAAAUUCUGAGAGUUUACACAAAGAGGAUAUUUAUAGCGACAGUAUAGAUCUAAAUACUUGUAGUGAAAAACUCUCCGAUUCAAAUUCUCUAGAGGAUAAAUCCUAUAGCGUAGAAGAUGAAAUGGAUUUAUCUGAUAUGAUAGUAUUAGAUGAAGUUGGUCCUGAGAGUCCUGAAUGCAAAAUAAGAAUUGAUGUUGAUAAAGAGUGCUCCACAGCAAAAGAAAAAGAUGAGGAAGAUGAAAAUACUUUAAGGGUUCAAGCAUUAACAUCUUUAUCAAUAAAAACUAUACCAAUAAAACAUAAUACUGCUUCUACUCUGUCCCCGAAACCACAAGUUAAAUGUAAUCCACCUUAUCACAGAGAAAACCACAAUAGGACAAUUCUAUAUUCUAAAGAGGAAGAGAGAUUUAGAAAUAAUGAUACAAAGUUUGGAAAUGUAUCUGUGACUCACAGAAAGAAUAUUAAUAAUGAUCUCUCCAAGUAUAAAUUGAAUAGGGUUGUGUCUAGUGAGCCACGAAGAAGUGUGGUGAGAGAAAGAGAAUCAUUAAAGGUGGUAAUACCAUCGCAAUCACCUCCACUUUCUUUAUUACCAGAAGCCUCUCCUCCCAUGACGAAAAGAUUUGUUAUCAACGUCGGUCCAGACUCUGAUAGUGACGAGGAGGUUGAGUGGAUGCGUAGGGUCCACAUACAAGAAAACCCUGAGCCACCACCUCAAGUAAACUUAGAUUUGGAGCGUAGCAUAGAUUUGUUGCUCAUGAAUGCUCGUCAGAAAGUAGGGAAAUCUCAGCCUCCCCCAAUUAAACCAGACCUGACUAAACGUGUUGCAUUGAGACCAAAUAGAUGUUUAACUCCAGAUUCAAAGAAAGAGCAAGAUUCUGAUCUCUUAGAUACUCCUCUGCGUUUAUUGCCAAAGGAGCAACAGGAAGAAUAUCAAAGGUUAAAGAAAAUUAUAGAAGAAAGAGAAAGUAAAAAAAAGUUACAACAAAAAAGAGCAAUACUAAACAAAGAAAUGAAAAAAUCUCCAAUCCCGAUACAACAUGUUUUGACAGAUGAGGCCAAUAAGCAUAAACCGAGUACUGGGGAAACUAAGCGCAAGUUAAUUUCCAGUAGUGAUUCAGAAAAUGUUACAGACACUAAAGGAUCCUUGUCUUCAUUGGCAUGUAUUAAUCCUAAAAAACAGUCAGAUCUUAAAACAAAACUUGAACAUACAGACAAAUGUGUUUUAUUAAGAGAAUGUCAUGAAAAUAGAAGUUUUGUAGAAGAGGAAAAUGAUACAUUAACUAAUAAUAAAAAUGUUCAUUCAAGUGGUGGAAAUCAAACUGAAUCAAAAACACUAGAUACUUUUUCAGAUACGGAAAAAGAAAAGAAGAUAUCACAAUUCAAAACCAAAGUAAAAAAUUUUUGCUUUGAAAUUUUAGAAGGUUGUUCAAUUGAUAAUGGUAAUAACAUGAUCCAAAAGUCCAAUACCAAAGAGAUGAGUUCAGUUAAUCCUGAUACAGUUAGUUGUACGGGCAGUGAUGGCUUGAAUGCUGUAAACAUUGAUAAAGGAACACAAAAUGAUCUGAGAUACGAGCCUUCAGUUAGUGCAGAUAAAGGUGUGAAAGGAAAACAUAAGUAUGUUGAUAAUGAAAUCCUUACUGAUAAUCACACAGAUUCAUCUGUAAAUAAUGGUGAAAUAGUUCAGUCAGCAAGUCAUACAGAUAUAUCACAAUGUGAAUUGCAAAAUAGUGUUACUAGUAAUCCUUUAUUUGAAAACACUAUUAUAACGGAGUGUAGUGGUGAAUCAAUGGAAGUAUUAACAAUGCCACCAUUCAAAGACACAUGUUUAAAGGAUAUAACUCAAACAUGUAAAGAGUAUGAAAUUAAUACUUCAAAAAUUAUGAAAAAAUCUCAAAUGUUAGCUGAAAAUGGUAUUGAGGUUGUUACUCAUAAGGCAUUAGAUUCAGUGAAUAACACAGAAACAAAUGUUCCUUCUAAUAAUGAAAUAAAGAAUGAUAAGAUUGUAACCACAUUGUUAACUCACAAAAUCCAAAAAGUGACUUGUAACAGUGGUAAAGAGAGUGGCACAGCAUUUGAUGGACAAACUUCAACGAGGGUAGUCUCCAAUGAGGAAGUAGAGUAUACAAAAAGUCACAGUAUAGAGAUGUCUGUUAUUAAUACGAGUUCAUGUAAAACAGCUUGCCGUCAAUCAGAUAUUUGCAGUGUUCAGAAAAAAUCUACAGACUCAGAAAUUCUGCUCUCAAAUCAGUCAGAGCUGCUAAAUGAAAGGUUCACACUGAUAGACGAGUUAACCGAUAUGUCAGAAGUAUUGACACAGCUGGAGCGAGAGAAGUCGCAGCUGGAUGAGGUUAUGGCUAGUGUUAGUCGUUUCCGAAAGGCAUUGCGGCAAGCUGAGACUCGCCUGUGUAAUCUGCACGCUGGGACACAACAGCUGCAGCAAAGUGUGAAUGCUAUACAACAGGCUGUUACAACACGCUACUCCCACAUUCAGCAUCUAGAAGAUAGCUGUCGAGAUCUGGGUCAUCAAUUGCGUGGGACAGACUACGAAAUACCACCUACUGGAAAAGAAUUGGUAGAGAAGAAAAUGAAGUUAGUUGCUGAGAAAAGAAACAAGAUAAAUACUAAAAGAAAAGAAAUCAAGGUAAAACGCAUUACACUGAAACACCCUACACGUUCACAUUCCAAACUCUCAAGAGGAAAUAAUAGUCAAACAGAUAUCUUAUCAGUAUCAAGCCUGGUGACUCCAGCAAGCACUUGUGCUGUAACAACCUCAACUGUAUGUUCUCCAUUAAGAAUAGAAGAUGAAAAGAGAACAGAUUCCACAGAACAAGAAUCUCUGUCUUUUCCUUUAUUGGUUACAGGAAAAAGUAGAACAAAAUCUUCAGAUCUAGAAGCAAUAUCCGGCCAGACUUCAAAAAGUUCUGAUUUUUCUGUGACUUCUCUACCAGUUGAGUCAGUGCACAGUCAAUUAAGUGUUUCAGAAAACUCAUUGUUAAAUGUACAAUGUCCUCAAAAGCCAACUUUGCACCAUAUUUCAUCAGGAAAUUUGGAGAGUUUACAGCCAAAGAAGCAUAGUAACCUAAAUCCUGCCUUGAAUCAGAAAACUGAAGAAACAGUUUCUUUAAAACGUCCAAUUGAUAAUGUUAUCACCGAUUUGAGUAAUGUUCAGUGUCAAAAAAAGCUUUCUCUGAAUCGAAUAGAGACAAUAACAAAUGUUCAAAGUGAAGAGAUUAAUAAAAAUGUCCCUUUGCGUAAUAUCAAGAACUCAACUACUAAAUCCAGCCAAAAAUCAGUGCCCCGAUACAAGUCGUUACUUCGAUACAGGUCAUCUGUUAAUAGGACAGUAAGCAAUGUACCGUCAAGCACAGAAGCCAUCUUGUGUCCAUUCGACCUCUCUGGAAAGUGUCAAGAUACUCAGUGUCCAUAUUUGCAUUUACCUGACUCAUGUUACAGAUGAUGGGCGUCUGUGAAUGUCCUUCACAAACAAAGUACAACAGCAUGUGUUCAGUGACCUCUACAAUCAUGCCUAGUCUUCAUGUGAAGCACAGGAAGCCAGACAGAAUCACAAGCUGACUGAUAAUGUUUGUGAGUGAACUCUUAGUGUUUACUGUAACUAGUCAAGAGAGAAGAAUAUACCCAGCAACGCCAAGUUGAGUGGACUUAGUCGUACUUACUUCUAGACCUGUUGUUAGUGGUCUUGUAUGUAUGAGUGAAGAUAAUUUUGUACUCAAUAAACAGAGUUUUGUAAU